Molecule: long non-coding RNA, 1171 nt
Filed under: Takifugu rubripes (torafugu)
Lineage: Eukaryota; Metazoa; Chordata; Actinopteri; Tetraodontiformes; Tetraodontidae
Description: lncRNA (ENSTRUG00000030031.1)
Source: RNAcentral
GGGUAAGGAGGGCACAAGGAGAGCCGCGAGGAGGGGAGAGAAGGUGAUGGGAGGGGAAGCGUUCUCGGUCCCUGACAUGAAUGAACCAUGUUCGGGAACGGAGGCUUUGCUCUCCCGGUUUGCUCCUUCCUCUUGUUACAACUCCCGGCUCUUCCGCUGACCAACAACUGGCCUCUUAAGGACAGAAGUGAAGGGAGGUUGGAGCAGUGGAGCAACCAUUUGCAGCCCUCCAGAUUUAGAGGUCAGGAUGAAAAACAGAUAGAGAAAAAGGUACAUUACACACUAUCUAUCUGUGUCUGUCUGUCUGUCUGUCUGUCUGUCUGUCUGUCUGUCUGUCUGUCUGUCUGUCUGUCUGUCUGUCUGUCUGUCUGUCUGUCUGUCUGUCUGUCUGUCUGUCCGUCCGUCCGUCCGUCCGUAAGAUUAGUUCUUUCUGAGAUUUUCUAUCAAUAGCUUCCUAUCCCUCUCCCUCUCCCUCUCCCUCUCCCUCUCCCUCUCCUCUCCUCUCCUCUCCUCUCCUCUCCUCUCCUCUCCUCUCCUCUCCUCUCCUCUCCUCUCCUCUCCUCUCUCCUCUCUUUACCCAGCCGGCCAUCAGCAGGAGGGUCCCCCUACAUGAGCCUUGUCCUGCUCAAGGUUUCUUCCUGUUAAAGGGGAGUUUUUCCUUGCCACUGUUGCUUGUCUGGGGUUAGGCCCUGGGAUUCUGGAAAGCGCCUUGAAACAUUUUGAUUAUAUAAGACGCUAUAUAAAUAAAGAUUGAUUUGAUUUGAUUUCGCUCAUACUCCACAACCAGAUAAAGGAGGAGCAUGUGAUAGAGAUGGCAGCCUGAGCAGUUUACAGAACAGAAAUUUGAAUAACUCAUUAUAGGCUGAUGUUAAGUAACGAAUGAUGCAAAGUGACUGUGUACAAGUUGAUAUUACAUUUCUUACUUUUGGAACUUGGUUGAUUGUCUUAUUGCUGCUUAUUGCUGUGCAUUUUCUUGAAGGAGGAGGUGUUCCAGUGGUGGGGAGAAUGGUCCAGCUGGUCCUCUUGUUCCAGGAGUUGUGGUGGAGGAGUAAGGAGUCAGGGAAGACAUUGUCUUAUACAAAGGUAGUGUGGUUAAUAAUCUAAAAUAAAGAGCUGCAUUACAUAAAAAAAAUGUUCCAAACAAAAUAGAUGAUAACCUACAUUUUAGUUU